This is a small nuclear RNA of Penaeus monodon (black tiger shrimp), 141 nucleotides long. RefSeq annotates it as U4 spliceosomal RNA. The transcript has a single exon. The record is from RefSeq and is a predicted model, not a curated record. Lineage: Eukaryota; Metazoa; Arthropoda; Malacostraca; Decapoda; Penaeidae.
AACUUUGUGCAGUGGCAGUAUGGUAACCAAUGAGACUUGACCGAGUGACGUCUAUUGCUAGUUGAAAACAUUUUCCAAUACCCCGCCUGGACGACGUGAAUGACCGACGGCCAUGGCAAUUUUUGAUAGCCGGACUCAUGG